UGAAAAUGACAUAGAACUUGAAGGAGCAUGUGAAGCCUCACUUGCCUGUUCAACAUGUCAUGUGAUUGUCAUGGAUGUGGAAUACUACAACAAAUUAGAAGACCCUACUGACGAGGAGAAUGACAUGUUGGAUUUGGCCUUUGGGCUCACACAAACUUCUCGAUUGGGUUGUCAGGUGAUUGCAAAGCCUGAACUUGAUGGAAUUCGCUUAGCUAUUCCAGCUGCCACAAGAAAUUUUGCCGUUGAUGGGUAUGUUCCAAAACCUCACUAGACAUGGAGCAACACUGGAAAGUGUAUGCUGAGCGUAAAGGACGCAUUCAUCCCAGUUUUGUAGCCUACAAUAUUGUAUUCAACCAAUGAUCAUCUCCAGUCCUAGUCAUUUUUCCGUGCCAUUGUUUAUUACAUAUUUGUUUCACCUAAUAAUUUUUGAGUGGAACUAACUUGCAU
Molecule: unclassified non-coding RNA, 447 nt
Filed under: Hevea brasiliensis (rubber tree)
Lineage: Eukaryota; Viridiplantae; Streptophyta; Magnoliopsida; Malpighiales; Euphorbiaceae
Source: RNAcentral